CAGCCGCCGCGGUAAUACGUAGGUGGCAAGCGUUGUCCGGAAUUAUUGGGCGUAAAGGGCUCGCAGGCGGUUUCUUAAGUCUGAUGUGAAAGCCCCCGGCUCAACCGGGGAGGGUCAUUGGAAACUGGGAAACUUGAGUGCAGAAGAGGAGAGUGGAAUUCCACGUGCAGCGGUGAAAUGCGUAGAGAUGUGGAGGAACACCAGUGGCGAAGGCGACUCUCUGGUCUGUAACUGACGCUGAGAAGCGAAAGCGUGGGGAGCGAACAGGAUUAGAUACCCCUGUAGUCCCUGUCUCUUAUAC
This 301-nucleotide ribosomal RNA is filed under the name uncultured bacterium. RNAcentral's name for it is "partial 16S ribosomal RNA". It matches the Rfam family "Bacterial small subunit ribosomal RNA", at positions 509 to 807 of the family's 1533-position model. The record is from RNAcentral.